UGGUGACUAUAGCAAGGAGGUCACACCUGUUCUCAUGCCGAACACAGAAGUUAAGCUCCUUAGCGUCGAUGGUAGUCGAACUUACGUUCCG
Molecule: ribosomal RNA, 91 nt
Filed under: Staphylococcus aureus M0443
Lineage: Bacteria; Bacillati; Bacillota; Bacilli; Caryophanales; Staphylococcaceae
Source: RNAcentral